GACGAGCGCUGGCGGCGUGCUUAACACAUGCAAGUCGAACGGAAAGGCCCUGCUUGCAGAGUACUCGAGUGGCGAACGGGUGAGUAACACGUGGGUGAUCUGCCCUGCACUUCGGGAUAAGCUUGGGAAACUGGGUCUAAUACCGGAUAGGACCGCACUUUAGUGUGUGUGGUGGAAAGUUUUUUCGGUGUAGGAUGAGCUCGCGGCCUAUCAGCUUGUUGGUGGGGUAAUGGCCUACCAAGGCGGCAACGGGUAGCCGGCCUGAGAGGGUGUACGGCCACAUUGGGACUGAGAUACGGCCCAGACUCCUACGGGAGGCAGCAGUGGGGAAUAUUGCACAAUGGGCGCAAGCCUGAUGCAGCGACGCCGCGUGGGGGAUGAAGGCCUUCGGGUUGUAAACUCCUUUCGCUAGGGACGAAGCUUUUUGUGACGGUACCUAGAGAAGAAGCACCGGCUAACUACGUG
RNAcentral lists this ribosomal RNA (465 nucleotides) under uncultured bacterium. RNAcentral describes it as "partial 16S ribosomal RNA". It matches the Rfam family "Bacterial small subunit ribosomal RNA", at positions 28 to 507 of the family's 1533-position model. The record is from RNAcentral.